GGCCAGGAGGCGCUGGCGCAGGCGCGCCCGCUCCUGGAGGGCCUGGAGGAGGUCCGCCGCGCUGCCGCGCCCCAGUUCGCAGCAGGUCUUGGCCA
RNAcentral lists this transfer RNA (95 nucleotides) under Acidobacteria bacterium ADurb.Bin340. Its description in RNAcentral is "tRNA-Ser". Lineage: Bacteria; Pseudomonadati; Acidobacteriota. The record is from RNAcentral.